UACGUAGGGUGCGAGCGUUAAUCGGAAUUACUGGGCGUAAAGGGCGCGUAGGCGGCAAUUCAAGUCAUCUGUGAAAUCUCCGGGCUUAACCCGGAACGGUCAGGUGAUACUGUUUUGCUAGAGUGCGGAAGGGGCAAUCGGAAUUCUUGGUGUAGCGGUGAAAUGCGUAGAUAUCAAGAGGAACACCUGAGGUGAAGACGGGUUGCUGGGCCGACACUGACGCUGACAGCGCGAAAGCCAGGGGAGCAAACGGG
This 254-nucleotide ribosomal RNA is filed under the name uncultured bacterium. Its description in RNAcentral is "partial 16S ribosomal RNA". It matches the Rfam family "Bacterial small subunit ribosomal RNA", at positions 524 to 776 of the family's 1533-position model. The record is from RNAcentral.